UGUGUUUCCCUUUUAUACUCACCGCUUCCGGUGUCAACGUCGCUUCCGGGGAAAAUCACAACCAGACGGUUGCUCUCCACUGCUGUCCAUAUUUUUGCAGUUUGCGAACUAAUAUCAAGUCAACCAUGGUGGACUACGGUUCGGGGCCUGUAAAGGAGAGCAUAGACAACACGGUGUUCAUAUUUCCAGGCAUCAUUGUCAUUUGCCUAGUCUCCUUUUUUGCCUACAAGCUGUUCAAAAGCUUGAGAGAGAAAGAAAAAGCCAAGGAAGAAAAGAAAAAGAUGAAACAACAAAGGAAAGAAAAAGAACAACAAAAGAAACAGAAGAAAAAGUUAUGAUUCUGUGCACCUAGGAAUUCAUUUUAGAAAAAAAAGACUAGCAGCUACACGAUUGUAAAUUAUUUAUGUGACAGAGAAAAAUCAGAGACAAGCAAGAAACCUCAUGUUGUUUGAAUUGAUGACAAAAUUUGGAUGUGAACUAAUGUUAGAAUGUGAAGUCAUUGAAAACACUCACCCACCUUUUUUUUGUUGAAGUCUUGAUCGAUUAGGGAAUGUAUGUUUUAUGAAUUCAGAUUUCUUGACUGUUGUUAGCUAUUUCACUGUGUUUCUGUGUUCUUCACAAAAGAGUUAACUCAUGCAAUAAUCUAGAUUUGAUUAUUUUUAAAAUACAUUUCACUGUUUUAUAAUUUUUAAUUUCCAUUCUUCAAUUUUUUUAUUAACAGAUGGUUUGUUCACUUUAAAGAAAUGAAUCCUUAUAGAUACUUCUCAAUGGAGACUUUAAUUUCAAUAGAUAGAUAAAAAAAAUUGUGUGUUACAAAUAAUGCUAUUAAAUUGUUACACAACAUCAGUACAGUGUAUAAACUAUCAUGAAAAUUUUUAAGACAUUUAAACGAGUGGUUUAGGACAAUAUUUAAAACUAGGUCUGAGAGUUACUUGUACAUUUCAUCAUGAAAACUUCGUUUUGUGAUAUACCGGUAAUUCAUUGCUGAAAAAAAGGAAUCUUUUUAAUCUUUAAGAAAUAUGUUUACAUAUCAUACAGAUUUGUUUUUUUAAAAAACUGCUUUGUGGUAAAAGAAUGAGACAUUAUUGAUAAAAAAAUUGGGGACUCACUAGUCGAUAUUGAUCAACUCUACACUAUCAUACCUCGUAUAAGCCAUUGUCUCAUUUUACUUAUAGUGUACACUGUAGACUUUGUUAGAUUAAGAUUAUUUCACUUGUAUUGGAUCUGUGAAUUGUAAGAAAAUCUAAUUUUUAUGGAUGGUAUUAUGUGGAAAAUGGUUGUGUAAAAUGCAUUAUUUUAUAUUUUUAUUUGAUGCAGGCAUUGGUAUUACAUUAAUAGUGAACCAUUUUAUCAAACAUUUUCCUCAACUGAUCUUUCCUUCAAUAUAUUACUGGCAUUGAUAAGUUUAAAAAUGACGUAUAUAUAUAAAAAGAUUUCAAAAUUAGAUAUUAUGACCCUGUAUUAUUUUCAAAGUUCUCUAAAAGUAUUUUUUUAUUAUACACAUGAACAUCAUUCUUUAGUCUUAAAAAAAAAUUGGUAGAUUAUGUUUGAGUUUUUCAAAAAAGGAAGAGCCAAUGUGACCAGAAUCCAACACUGUAUUGUAUAUACAGGCAAGUCAUGUACCGGUACACUCUGAAGAAUUUUUCACUGUAAUUUAUAACCCACUCACCCACCCCCCUCCCCACAAUACCUGAAAUUAAAAAAUAAAGAAUGUUAAUGACCCUGUCAAAUAAAGUAUUAAGAUCAAGUCUCCUUGUAUAAAUUGGUCAGAUUGUUCCAUGACAUUUCAGUGAUCUCGACUUUUUUCUAUUUUGAUGCAAGUUUCUUAUAAAUUAAUCAAAUUAGAAGCAAAUUCUCUUUGAGGAUGUUAACUACUUGGCCCUUAUUUUUUAAUGCUCAACCAAAUUUAACAUUUAACUGUAUAAAUAAAAACAUAAUUAAGUAGAAGUUGAUAAAAAUUCAGUGAAAAAAAAAGGCUUACAGACAAAAAAUAAAUUAUGUAUUAUAACUACACUUUGACCAUAAACUUCAAUUCCUUUUAAGCUAGUUCCCUGUUUUACUGUGCGAAGUUUAACUCGACACAUUGGUGCCCCCCCCCCCCCCACCAAAAAAAACCCAAAAAACAAAACAAAAAAAACAAAACAAACACAUAUACACACAUUCCUGCUACAAUAUUUAUACCUCAGAAACUGACUUCAAAUCUAAUGACACAACUGAUCAGCAAAUCUCUAUUAUACACACAAUAUUCCAGUUAUUUUGAAAACUUAAAAAGAUUUUGCUGAAAUGCAUCAUGUGAAGUCAACACCUGAAAAUAUCUGCAUUGUAACAUUUGAGCUAUCAGCAACAAAUGACUGACUUUUUAAAAAAAAUUACUUGGUUAAGUCAAAACAAUCGCUAAUAUUUGGAAACUAUUAGAAACUCUUUAGCCGAUUAAAUGUUGGGAAAGGUCAACAGGUGUUUUUUUUUGCGUUUAUUUAUCUAUUUAUUAUGUUUUAUGGUUUCCAAUGUUCAUGACUUAGUAUUUUACUUAUGGGUAGCAUAGCAUUAGCAUGUUUCUUGUGUUGAGUCAGAAUUUUCAAUAUUAUUUGUUACAUACUACUUUAUAUUACAUUAGAAGUAUUAAUGACAUUCAAGUGCAAUUUUGUUACAUGUAAUAUUUUAUUUCAUUUUAAUAGUGUUGAUGAUUGGCCUAAUUUAUCGAAUUGAAUGGUUAUGAAUCAGGUUUUAAAAAAAUAUUUCACUACGCAUCUACCAUUAUAGGUCAUCUUACAUUUGUCAAUAGAAAUCUGUUGUUGAUUGGUGUGUAUGAAUUCAAUGUCAUGAAUUUGAAAUGCAGAGAACUAUAAAUUCUGUAAACAACUCACUUGUUAAAAAUCAUAAACCAAAACAGACACAGGCAAAUGUAUUUAGUUUAAUAGUUGAUAAUUAACAAAUCUGUCUGACUGAGUGACUUGUACAUUGUGAUAUGGAUUUGAAGAAAAUUGCAGCAUUAUCAUAUCGUACCUACACUGUAGAUCUUCGGUCAUAUUCCCUUCAUGAAAGAAAUGGGUCCGGAAAUUGGAUGUAAAUGUUGUACCAAUUUUAUAUUCCUGUAUCGCUGUAUUCUCAGAAAUGAAAAGAUAUAUGAAUAAAAUUGAAAGGUUA
This is a long non-coding RNA of Magallana angulata, 3144 nucleotides long. RefSeq lists it as uncharacterized. The transcript has 2 exons. NCBI's taxonomy places the organism in Eukaryota, Metazoa, Mollusca, Bivalvia, Ostreida, Ostreidae. The record is from RefSeq and is a predicted model, not a curated record.